RNAcentral lists this transfer RNA (72 nucleotides) under Acanthoscelides obtectus. It matches the Rfam family "tRNA". From Rfam's summary of the family: Transfer RNA (tRNA) molecules are approximately 80 nucleotides in length. The record is from Rfam by way of RNAcentral. Lineage: Eukaryota; Metazoa; Arthropoda; Insecta; Coleoptera; Chrysomelidae.
GCCUCUGUAGCUCAGUGGCAGAGCGUUGGUCUUGUAAAUCAGUGGUCGUGAGUUCAAUCCUCACAGGAGGCA